UACGUAUGGUGCAAGCGUUAUCCGGAAUGACUGGGUGUAAAGGGAGCGUAGACGGUUGUUCAAGUCUGAUGUGAAAGCCCUCGGCUUAACUGGGGGAGUGCAUUGGAAACUGAAGGACUAGAGUAUCGGAGAGGCAAGUGGAAUUCCUAGUGUAGCGGUGAAAUGCGUAGAUAUUAGGAGGAACACCAGUGGCGAAGGCGGCUUGCUGGACAAAAACUGACGUUGAGGCUCGAAAGCGUGGGGAGCAAACAGG
Molecule: ribosomal RNA, 253 nt
Filed under: uncultured bacterium
Lineage: Bacteria
Description: partial 16S ribosomal RNA
Rfam family: Bacterial small subunit ribosomal RNA
Source: RNAcentral